AACGCGAAGAACCUUACCUGGGCUCGAAAUGUAGUGGACCGGGGUAGAAAUAUCCCUUUCUAGCAAUAGACUGCUAUAUAGGUGCUGCAUGGCUGUCGUCAGCUCGUGUCGUGAGAUGUUGGGUUAAGUCCCGCAACGAGCGCAACCCUUAUCUCUAGUUGCCAUCAUUCAGUUGGGCACUCUAGCGAAACCGCCUCGGAUAACGGGGAGGAAGGUGGGGAUGACGUCAAGUCCUCAUGGCCUUUAUGUCCAGGGCUACACACGUGCUACAAUGGCCGGUACAAACCGCUGCAAACCCGUGAGGGGGAGCUAAUCGGAAAAAGCCGGCCUCAGUUCGGAUUGGAGUCUGCAACUCGACUCCAUGAAGCUGGAAUCGCUAGUAAUCGUGGAUCAGAACGCCACGGUGAAUACGUUCCCGGGCCUUGUA
RNAcentral lists this ribosomal RNA (427 nucleotides) under uncultured Acidobacterium sp. Its description in RNAcentral is "bacterial SSU rRNA". It matches the Rfam family "Bacterial small subunit ribosomal RNA", at positions 958 to 1385 of the family's 1533-position model. The record is from RNAcentral. Lineage: Bacteria; Pseudomonadati; Acidobacteriota; Terriglobia; Terriglobales; Acidobacteriaceae.